Camelus dromedarius (Arabian camel) is the source of this 2069-nucleotide long non-coding RNA. RefSeq lists it as uncharacterized. The transcript is spliced from 5 exons. Lineage: Eukaryota; Metazoa; Chordata; Mammalia; Artiodactyla; Camelidae. The record is from RefSeq and is a predicted model, not a curated record.
UAUGCUCAGAUUGAGGGAGCGGUUUUGUCUCAAAAAUUCAACACGUUCCACGCUGGUCUGAAACUAGCAGGUCAGGCGGCGGUUUUUGGCCCACUUUGUUUGAAACCGUUUGUUUUCUGCCCACCCUACUUCUCUUCGCUUUUCCCCUUCUUUCCGAAGGGCUGCGGCCUUCUGGAGCUGACUCAGGCGAGAGGCUUCCAGACCCAAAUAGGGGUCACACCUGCUGCCGGGAGAGGCCUCUGCAUAAGAAUGCUCUUUAAAUUUUUUAAAAAGCAGCAUAAUAGCCAGUGGACUUAGCAAAGCGUGACUUGCCCAGGCCGCGCGGAGGAGGGCAGCCCUGCAGUCAUCUGUGACUCGACCACCAGUUAACGUCCUGGACGUGCCUGUUCGCGGACGUAUUAGCAAACGUUUCAAGGAUGUGGCUGUCAGAUGUCAUUAGCCAACGCAUUUAACUGGGAGGAGGGCACGGCCAGGGCGACUAUGCAUAGAGUGUUCUGGGGAGGUCAGAGUCUCCCCUCUGGAACAGUCACGUGCCCCUUCCCGUACAAAUGUUUAUCAAAUGACGGGAGAAGCUGGCCCAUGAACAGUGGGGUACAGAGGCGUGGAAGGGGAGCAUGCAGGUCUUUCUGGGGGAACUCAGACCCAGAUAAGACCCGUGUACUGCGCAGAUUGAGGGGGACGAUCGGAUCGAGUCAACCCAAUGAGUUCUAGCGCUCCCCGUGUGAACCCUCCGGUCCUGAAGGCUAGAACCUAGCGUCCGGAUGCACAAUUAGAAGCUGGAGCUUGGAAAUACCUGACUCCCUGGAAGUGGCCGUUCAAGUGGGCAAAAUUGCCUCUAACAUAGCUGAAGACUGGAGGCCUUUGAUGCAAAUCUGGCUGAUGUAACUCGAUUACGAAGCGCAACAGUUUGAGUACGGUGCCCACGCUGUGCUUGACACGUGACCACAGAAGAGAAGAGAAAAUUCUACGUGCACCCAUGCCCCAGUUUGCUGAAGGUAGCUUGUGUAUCACUGAGAAACCAUCUGGCCACUUGUGAAGCCAGGCGCCCAGAGACAUGAUUACCACUGUGUUGAUGAGUUAAAAGAACGAUGUCUUGCACCAAGUGUGUGCAUAUCUCAAGACUACAGACCUGACUACAGCAAUAUGUCUACAGCAGAAGAAAGCAAUACUCUAAUUAAUGUGCAUCUCAUUUGCACUUCUGUUGCCAAAGCUAAUCAUUGUUUAAUUCAAGGUGGAUGUCCUCUCCAUCAGUGCACCAUCCAGUUGAGAAAGAAACAAAAUCUUUAAGAAAGACCCCGCUGUAUAGACUAUCCAAGGGUUGCUAUAAAGUGUGCUAUAGACCUUUGUGAAGACGACGUGACAUAUAGCUGGGUAAAUUAAUCUUUGAAAAAAAAACUUUAGAAAAAGAGCACAGGAACUGUAGGACACAUGAAAAAAGAAGAGAGUGUGGUGAAUAAGGGAAGUGUGGGUUCAGAGGAAAGGAAAAAAGAAUGAAGACUUUCUCUAUGGGAUGCUUCCCAGAAGCAGACAACAGUGAGAAAAGACUGUUCUGCGGAGAGAUGGUAAGAAGUAGGAAUUCGGGGUGAGGGGCAGGGAGGGCAAAUCCAGAUUGCUGCAGGUGCUGGGCAGAAGAGGUGGGCAGACUGCAGAAGGCUGCGUUCGUUAGAAGGCUCGGCGGCGUGGAUGAGAGAGACAAGCAUGGCAUCUUUCAUUAAGCCUUUCUGGAUCCUCUCCCCCCACUUUGCACUGGACUUUCUCUAAAUCCUUCUGCACUUAACGAAGCAAUGCUUUAUUAUUUUAGAAAAGCAUUUCCAAAGCUUGCCCAACCAGAAGUUUCACUGGGCACUUAUUAAAAAUACAGAUUCCCAGCCUCCACCUACAUGUGGCGAUUUGGACUCUCCAAUGGCUGCACCUGGAAAUGUGUAUUUUUAUACAAGAAAUCCAAGUAAUUCUCAUGAUGGGGUAACUUUGGGAAGUGCAGUAUCAACACAUGAAGUCAUAUCAUAAGGUUGCCUCUUCUGCCAAUGAAUUAAAUAUUCUAGGCUUUGCUUAUCCAAGAAUUAAAUACU